This 341-nucleotide unclassified non-coding RNA is filed under the name soil metagenome. Its description in RNAcentral is "partial contains 5.8S ribosomal RNA, internal transcribed spacer 2, and large subunit ribosomal RNA". The stretch from base 1 to 120 matches the Rfam family "5.8S ribosomal RNA", at positions 35 to 154 of the family's 154-position model. The record is from RNAcentral.
GAUGAAGAACGUAGCGAAAUGCGAUAAGUAGUGUGAAUUGCAGAAUUCAGUGAAUCAUCGAAUCUUUGAACGCACAUUGCGCCCUUUGGUAUUCCAAAGGGCAUGCCUGUUCGAGCGUCAUUUGUACCCUCAAGCUUUGCUUGGUGUUGGGCGUCUUGUCUGUAGCUUUGCUGGAGACUCGCCUUAAAGUAAUUGGCAGCCGGCCUACUGGUUUCGGAGCGCAGCACAAGUCGCACUCUCUAUCAGCAAAGGUCUAGCAUCCAUUAAGCCUUUUUUUCAACUUUUGACCUCGGAUCAGGUAGGGAUACCCGCUGAACUUAAGCAUAUCAAUAAGCGGAGGA